GACGAACGCUGGCGGCGUGCUUAACACAUGCAAGUCGAGCGGUAAGGCCCUUCGGGGUACACGAGCGGCGAACGGGUGAGUAACACGUGGGUGACCUGCCCCCAACUCUGGGAUAAGCCCGGGAAACUGGGUCUAAUACCGGAUAUGACCUUCUGUCGCAUGAUGGUUGGUGGAAAGUUUUUCGGUUGGGGAUGGGCCCGCGGCCUAUCAGCUUGUUGGUGGGGUGAUGGCCUACCAAGGCGACGACGGGUAGCCGGCCUGAGAGGGCGACCGGCCACACUGGGACUGAGACACGGCCCAGACUCCUACGGGAGGCAGCAGUGGGGAAUAUUGCGCAAUGGGCGAAAGCCUGACGCAGCGACGCCGCGUGGGGGAUGACGGCCUUCGGGUUGUAAACCUCUUUCAGCACCGACGAAGCGAAAGUGACGGUAGGUGCAGAAGAAGGACCGGCCAACUACGUGCCAGCAGCCGCCGUAAAAC
RNAcentral lists this ribosomal RNA (480 nucleotides) under uncultured bacterium. RNAcentral's name for it is "bacterial SSU rRNA". It matches the Rfam family "Bacterial small subunit ribosomal RNA", at positions 28 to 526 of the family's 1533-position model. The record is from RNAcentral.